RNAcentral lists this ribosomal RNA (253 nucleotides) under uncultured bacterium. RNAcentral's name for it is "partial 16S ribosomal RNA". It matches the Rfam family "Bacterial small subunit ribosomal RNA", at positions 524 to 776 of the family's 1533-position model. The record is from RNAcentral.
UACGGGGGGGGCAAGCGUUGUUCGGAAUUACUGGGCGUAAAGGGCUCGUAGGCGGCCGACUAAGUCAGACGUGAAAUCCCCCGGCUUAACUGGGCGGGGUCAGCGGAUACGGCAGAGCUUGAGCAAGCUAGGGGGCAAUGGAAUUCCCGGUGUAGUGGUGGAAUGCGUAGAUAUCGGGAGGAACACCAGUGGCGAAGGCGGUUGCCUGGGGCUUUGCUGACGCUGAUGCGCGAAAGCGUGGGGAGCGAUCCGG